UCCGCGCAGUGGCACAUGCCUGUAGUCCCAGCUACUCAGGAGGCUGAGGCUGGAGGAUCACUUGAGUCCAGGAGUUCUAGGCUGUAGUGCACUAUGCUGAUUGGGUGUCCAAACUAAGUUCAGCAUCAGUAUGGUGACUUCCCGGGAGCAGGGGACCACCAGAUUGCCUAUGGAGGAGUGAACCAGCCCAGGUUGGAAACAGAGCAGGUCAAAACUCCCGUGCUGAUCAGUAGUGGGAUUGCACCUGUGAAUAGCCACUGCACUCCAACCUAGGCAACAUAGCGAGACCCCAUCUCU
RNAcentral lists this signal recognition particle RNA (297 nucleotides) under Cebus imitator (Panamanian white-faced capuchin). Its description in RNAcentral is "Metazoan signal recognition particle RNA (ENSCCAG00000004747.1)". It matches the Rfam family "Metazoan signal recognition particle RNA". From Rfam's summary of the family: The signal recognition particle (SRP) is a universally conserved ribonucleoprotein. It is involved in the co-translational targeting of proteins to membranes. Lineage: Eukaryota; Metazoa; Chordata; Mammalia; Primates; Cebidae. The record is from RNAcentral.